AUUGAACGCUGGCGGCAUGCCUUACACAUGCAAGUCGAACGGCAGCACGGGAGCAAUCCUGGUGGCGAGUGGCGAACGGGUGAGUAAUACAUCGGAACGUGCCCAGUAGUGGGGGAGUAACCGGCGAAGACGGACUAAUACCGCAUACGACCUACGGGUGGAAGACGGGGGAGUCGCAAGACCUCGCGCUAUCGGAGCGGCCGAUGUCAGAUUAGCUUGUUGGUGGGGUAAAGGACCUACCAAGGCGACGAUCUGUAGCUGGUCUGAGAGGACGACCAG
RNAcentral lists this ribosomal RNA (279 nucleotides) under uncultured bacterium. Its description in RNAcentral is "partial 16S ribosomal RNA". It matches the Rfam family "Bacterial small subunit ribosomal RNA", at positions 30 to 307 of the family's 1533-position model. The record is from RNAcentral.